GAAAGGGCUUUGUCGAAGACUGUUUUGCGUGUAGGAUAGUGCGUAAAAUGGUUCAAAACGAAGCCCAAAGCAAUUUUUGAUACGACGGUCUCUGUCUCGGCAUUCCACAGUCGUUUCAGUAACUUUUACGUGCAAUUACAAUA
This is a small nucleolar RNA of Drosophila biarmipes, 143 nucleotides long. Lineage: Eukaryota; Metazoa; Arthropoda; Insecta; Diptera; Drosophilidae. The record is from RefSeq and is a predicted model, not a curated record.